Molecule: ribosomal RNA, 1019 nt
Filed under: uncultured bacterium
Lineage: Bacteria
Description: bacterial SSU rRNA
Rfam family: Bacterial small subunit ribosomal RNA
Source: RNAcentral
UGGGGAAUAUUGGGCAAUGGGCGCAAGCCUGAACCAGCCAAGUAGCGUGAGGGAAGACUGCCCUAUGGGUUGUAAACCUCUUUUGUGCGGGGAUAAAGUGUGGGACGUGUCCCAUAUUGCAGGUACCGCACGAAUAAGGACCGGCUAAUUCCGUGCCAGCAGCCGCGGUAAUACGGAAGGUCCGGGCGUUAUCCGGAUUUAUUGGGUUUAAAGGGAGCGCAAGCCGUCCUUUAAGCGUGCUGUGAAAUGCCGCGGCUCAACCGUGGCACUGCAGCGCGAACUGGAGGACUUGAGUACGCACGAGGUAGGCGGAAUUCGUGGUGUAGCGGUGAAAUGCUUAGAUAUCACGAAGAACUCCGAUUGCGAAGGCAGCUUACCGGAGCGCAACUGACGCUGAGGCUCGAAAGCGCGGGUAUCGAACAGGAUUAGAUACCCUGGUAGUCCGCGCGGUAAACGAUGGAUGCCCGCCGUUGGGUUUUAGAAUUCAGCGGCCAAGCGAAAGCGUUAAGCAUCCCACCUGGGGAGUACGCCGGCAACGGUGAAACUCAAAGGAAUUGACGGGGGCCCGCACAAGCGGAGGAACAUGUGGUUUAAUUCGAUGAUACGCGAGGAACCUUACCCGGGCUUGAAUUGCAGGAGAACGAUCCAGAGAUGGUGAGGCCCUUCGGGGCUCCUGUGAAGGUGCUGCAUGGUUGUCGUCAGCUCGUGCCGUGAGGUGUCGGCUCAAGUGCCAUAACGAGCGCAACCCCUGUCCAUAGUUGCCAUCAGGUCGUGCUGGGCACUCUGUGGAGACUGCCGCCGUAAGGUGUGAGGAAGGUGGGGAUGACGUCAAAUCAGCACGGCCCUUACGUCCGGGGCUACACACGUGUUACAAUGGGGCAUACAGCGAGUUGGAUGUGCGCAAGUACGUCCGGAUCAAUAAAGUGCCUUUCAGUUCGGACUGGGGUCUGCAACCCGACCCCACGAAGCUGGAUUCGCUAGUAAUCGCGCAUCAGCCAUGGCGCGGUGAAUACGUUCCC